UAGUCUGGUGCCAGCAGCCGCGGUAAUACGGGGGAUGCAAGCGUUAUCCGGAAUCAUUGGGCGUAAAGCGCCUGUAGGUUGUUUAAUAAGUCCGUUGUUAAAGACUAGGGCUUAACCCUAGGAAAGCGAUGGAAACUGAUAGACUUGAGUAUGACAGGGGUAGAGGGAAUUUCUAGUGUAGCGGUGAAAUGCGUAGAUAUUAGAAAGAACACCGGUGGCGAAAGCGCUCUACUGGACCAUUACUGACACUGAGAGGCGAAAGCUAGGGGAGCGAAAGGGAUUAGAUACCCCUGUAGUCCUAGCCGUAAACGAUGGAUACUAGAUGUUGUGCAAUUUGGACAGUAUCGUAGCUAACGCGUUAAGUAUCCCGCCUGGGGAGUACGCUCGCAAGGGUGAAACUCAAAGGAAUUGACGGGGGCCCGCACAAGCGGUGGAGCAUGUGGUUUAAUUCGAUGCAACGCGAAGAACCUUACCAGGGCUUGACAUACUACAGAUCUUUUUGAGAAAGAAGAGUGCCUUCGGGAAUGUAGAUACAGGUGG
This 540-nucleotide ribosomal RNA is filed under the name uncultured picoeukaryote. RNAcentral's name for it is "bacterial SSU rRNA". It matches the Rfam family "Bacterial small subunit ribosomal RNA", at positions 498 to 1041 of the family's 1533-position model. The record is from RNAcentral.